RNAcentral lists this ribosomal RNA (253 nucleotides) under uncultured bacterium. RNAcentral's name for it is "partial 16S ribosomal RNA". It matches the Rfam family "Bacterial small subunit ribosomal RNA", at positions 524 to 776 of the family's 1533-position model. The record is from RNAcentral.
UACGUAGGGUGCGAGCGUUAAUCGGAAUUACUGGGCGUAAAGUGUGCGCAGGCGGCGUUGCAAGUCGAGUGUGAAAUCCCCGAGCUUAACUUGGGAAUUGCGCUCGAAACUACGAUGCUCGAGUGUGGCAGAGGAAGGUGGAAUUCCACGUGUAGCGGUGAAAUGCGUAGAGAUCGGAAAGAACACCAACGGCGAAAGCACUCUGCUGGGCCGACACUGACACUGAGAGACGAAAGCUAGGGGAGCAAAUGGG